GCCCACAGGGAAGGUACACACCUUGAGUCUGGCGCCUUAGACCACUCGGCCAUCCUGACACGCUGCAAACUGCUUACUCAUACAGAGCCUGCUUCCUGCGGCAGCCUGCUGCGCUGCCCCGCCUCACGGUCCGGGCGGGCUGUCGCUGGAUCCGCCCGGCCAGGGCAAAGGAGAACCGCCUGUCGGGCCCCGGCCGCCAGCCGCGGAGCUCUUGUAGGACACCGGGCACUCCGGAGUGCCCAACCUCGCUCUCCCGGGCGAAGCCGGAAAUCGAGCCGAAUCUCCAGAAGCAAGGACAAUCCCGCUAGAAAACCAGAGGGGUUAGUGACCACCCGGCCCAGCAAAGGAGGGAAACUAUAGCAGCAAAGGCAAAGAGAAAGCGCCAGGAUGCAGCCCACCCGUGGUACCCGCCACUGCCAGAUCCCGGGUUCCCGCCGCACAUUCCUGGCCCUAGCUGCGAAAACUGGCUAGACGAGUGAAUACGAGGAAAGCACUGGAAUGUACGCUUGGCACAGGGCAAUGCCCCUGACUGGUUCUAACUCCACUCGGCUGCCUUUUUGCUGUUUCACCUCCUGGAAGUAGAUGCACAAGUACAAGAUAGCAAUGCCCUGGGACUUAAGGUGUCUUCUUACCUUGCUGUAGGGACUGGGUGAAGUGGAGAUGAUUGGCAGAGCAAGAAUUGGGGGCAGGCUGAGGAGGAGGUGGUACCAGGCUAGGGCAGGGUAGGAGUUACGGGGUGGAGGAUGGAACAAUAAUGAAGAGUCAGGGUCAUCUGAUUUAGAGGAGUCUUUUCUUCCUGCUCAUGGAACUUUGUCUCCUUAGUGCCUCAGGGUCCUUCCCCCAAGCUUCCCAGUUGUUUCCCUGCUCUCCUUUGACAUUCCUUUUCCCCUGUCCUGCCCACCCCCAAGACAAGAUUCCUUCAAGAUAAACUGAGCUUUAAUAGAUCAGCAAGGCCCAGACCCUCAGCUAGUAAUGGCUUUGGAGAUCCUGGAGAACUCACCAGCAUCACAUCUGCUAUCUCCUAGGCUCCAAUAUAUGGUGUUGGCAGGGAGUAGGUGACUCAGUAGGUCUAGAUGCUCGGGUUACGAAGGGGGUCUUAUAACAGCUUCUAAAAAGCCUCCCACAGUGCUCUGCCAUCUCUCCUCCUCUCUCCGUGUUGGACUGCAGUGGUGCACAUGGCAAGGGAGAAAAUGUUUCCUGCAAGCCAUUCCCCAUGACCACCCCCAUAUCACUGUUCAUUCUGUUGUCAUGACCUUAAAGUGCUCCAAGAAAAUACAGACUUAUUUUCCAGUCUCAGUGGAGAUGUGAACCACCUCACUUGUCUCCAACAAUUUUCUUGUAUGCCCCUUGAACACCAUCCACUUCUUGCUACCAAGCAACUUUCAGAUCCCAUCUCCUUUUCCCAGUGUCCACCAAGAGCUCAGUUUUGCUUUCUAGUCUGAAAUUACUGCCUUCAGAAUAUCAAGACUUCAGUUAAUAAACUUGAAAUAGUCAUCUCAA
Molecule: long non-coding RNA, 1500 nt
Organism: Balaenoptera ricei (Rice's whale)
Lineage: Eukaryota; Metazoa; Chordata; Mammalia; Artiodactyla; Balaenopteridae
Exons: 2
Source: RefSeq, a predicted model, not a curated record